Molecule: ribosomal RNA, 302 nt
Filed under: Halacarus sp. AP-2010
Lineage: Eukaryota; Metazoa; Arthropoda; Arachnida; Trombidiformes; Halacaridae
Description: eukaryotic LSU rRNA
Rfam family: Eukaryotic large subunit ribosomal RNA
Source: RNAcentral
CCAAGGAGUCUAACAUGUACGCAAGUCUCACGGUCUUGUUUAGGCCUGUGGGGCGAAAUGAAAGUAAAGAGUGUGAUCUCGCAAACGGCUGUAGUGGCUGUUGUGAGCGCAACACUAACCCGCUCGAUUUGCCUUUUGACAAACGGACGGAGUCGGAGCGUACACGUUGGUACCCGAAAGAUGGUGAACUAUGCUUGGGCAAGACGAAGCCAGAGGAAACUCUGGUGGAGGUCUGUAGCGAUUCUGACGUGCAAAUCGAUCGUCAGACCUGAGUAUAGGGGCGAAAGACUAAUCGAACCAUC